GAAUUGACGGGGGCCCGCACAAGCGGUGGAGCAUGUGGUUUAAUUCGAAGCAACGCGAAGAACCUUACCAGGUCUUGACAUCCUUUGACCACUCUGGAGACAGAGCUUUCCCUUCGGGGACAAAGUGACAGGUGGUGCAUGGUUGUCGUCAGCUCGUGUCGUGAGAUGUUGGGUUAAGUCCCGCAACGAGCGCAACCCUUGAUUUUAGUUGCCAGCAUUUAGUUGGGCACUCUAAAGUGACUGCCGGUGCAAGCCGGAGGAAGGUGGGGAUGACGUCAAAUCAUCAUGCCCCUUAUGACCUGGGCUACACACGUGCUACAAUGGAUAGUACAAAGGGUCGCGAAGCCGCGAGGUGGAGCUAAUCCCAUAAAACUAUUCUCAGUUCGGAUUGUAGGCUGCAACUCGCCUACAUGAAGCCGGAAUCGCUAG
This 429-nucleotide ribosomal RNA is filed under the name Listeria monocytogenes. RNAcentral's name for it is "bacterial SSU rRNA". It matches the Rfam family "Bacterial small subunit ribosomal RNA", at positions 907 to 1338 of the family's 1533-position model. The record is from RNAcentral. Lineage: Bacteria; Bacillati; Bacillota; Bacilli; Caryophanales; Listeriaceae.